AGGACGAACGCUGGCGGCGUGCUUAACACAUGCAAGUCGAGCGAGGCCCUUCCUUCGGGAAGGUGCCCUAGCGGCGAACGGGUGAGUAACACGUGGGCAACCUGCCCCUAGCACUGGGAUAACUCCGGGAAACCGGGGCUAAUACCGGAUAUGACCUCCGAGGGCAUCCUUGGUGGUGUAAAGGAAUCUGGCUAGGGAUGGGCCCGCGGCCUAUCAGCUUGUUGGUGGGGUAAUGGCCUACCAAGGCGACGACGGGUAGCCGGCCUGAGAGGGCGACCGGCCACACUGGGACUGAGACACGGCCCAGACUCCUACGGGAGGCAGCAGUGGGGAAUAUUGCACAAUGGGCGAAAGCCUGAUGCAGCGACGCCGCGUGAGGGAUGACGGCCUUCGGGUUGUAAACCUCUUUCAGCAGGGACGAAGCGAAAGUGACGGUACCUGCAGAAGAAGCACCGGCCAACUACGCGCCAGCAGCCGC
Molecule: ribosomal RNA, 478 nt
Filed under: uncultured bacterium
Lineage: Bacteria
Description: SSU rRNA
Rfam family: Bacterial small subunit ribosomal RNA
Source: RNAcentral